RNAcentral lists this ribosomal RNA (253 nucleotides) under uncultured bacterium. RNAcentral describes it as "partial 16S ribosomal RNA". It matches the Rfam family "Bacterial small subunit ribosomal RNA", at positions 524 to 776 of the family's 1533-position model. The record is from RNAcentral.
UACAGAGGUCUCAAGCGUUGUUCGGAUUCAUUGGGCGUAAAGGGUGCGUAGGUGGCGGGGUAAGUCAGGUGUGAAAUCUCGAGGCUCAACCUCGAAACUGCACUUGAUACUGCCUUGCUAGAGUACUGGAGAGGAGACUGGAAUUUACGGUGUAGCGGUGAAAUGCGUAGAUAUCGUAAGGAAGACCAGUGGCGAAGGCGGGUCUCUGGACAGUUCCUGACGCUGAGGCACGAAGGUCAGGGGAGCAAACGGG